This 301-nucleotide ribosomal RNA is filed under the name uncultured bacterium. RNAcentral's name for it is "partial 16S ribosomal RNA". It matches the Rfam family "Bacterial small subunit ribosomal RNA", at positions 509 to 807 of the family's 1533-position model. The record is from RNAcentral.
CAGUAGCCGCGGUAAUACGAAGGGUGCAAGCGUUAAUCGGAAUUACUGGGCGUAAAGCGUGCGUAGGCGGUUUCUUAAGUCUGCUGUGAAAUCCCCGGGCUCAACCUGGGAAUGGCAGUGGAUACUGGGAAGCUAGAGUGUGUCAGAGGAUGGUGGAAUUCCCGGUGUAGCGGUGAAAUGCGUAGAGAUCGGGAGGAACAUCAGUGGCGAAGGCGGCCAUCUGGGACAACACUGACGCUGAGGCACGAAAGCGUGGGGAACAAACAGGAUUAGAGACCCCUGUAGUCCCUGUCUCUUAUAC